GACGAACGCUGGCGGCGUGCUUAACACAUGCAAGUCGAACGGAAAGGCCCUGCUUUUGUGGGGUGCUCGAGUGGCGAACGGGUGAGUAACACGUGAGUAACCUGCCCUUGACUUUGGGAUAACUUCAGGAAACUGGGGCUAAUACCGGAUAGGAGCUCCUGCUGCAUGGUGGGCGUUGGAAAGUUUCGGCGGUUGGGGAUGGACUCGCGGCUUAUCAGCUUGUUGGUGGGGUAGUGGCUUACCAAGGCUUUGACGGGUAGCCGGCCUGAGAGGGUGACCGGCCACAUUGGGACUGAGAUACGGCCCAGACUCCUACGGGAGGCAGCAGUGGGGAAUAUUGCACAAUGGGCGGAAGCCUGAUGCAGCAACGCCGCGUGCGGGAUGACGGCCUUCGGGUUGUAAACCGCUUUCGCCUGUGACGAAGCGUGAGUGACGGUAAUGGGUAAAGAAGCACCGGCUAACUACGUG
RNAcentral lists this ribosomal RNA (468 nucleotides) under uncultured bacterium. Its description in RNAcentral is "partial 16S ribosomal RNA". It matches the Rfam family "Bacterial small subunit ribosomal RNA", at positions 28 to 507 of the family's 1533-position model. The record is from RNAcentral.